CCGCACGGGUGAGUAACACGUAUCCAACCUGCCGUCUACUCUUGGACAGCCUUCUGAAAGGAAGAUUAAUACAGGAUGGCAUCAUGAGUCCGCAUGUUCACAUGAUUAAAGGUAUUCCGGUAGACGAUGGGGAUGCGUUCCAUUAGAUAGUAGGCGGGGUAACGGCCCACCUAGUCUUCGAUGGAUAGGGGUUCUGAGAGGAAGGUCCCCCACAUUGGAACUGAGACACGGUCCAA
RNAcentral lists this ribosomal RNA (236 nucleotides) under uncultured bacterium. RNAcentral describes it as "partial 16S ribosomal RNA". It matches the Rfam family "Bacterial small subunit ribosomal RNA", at positions 98 to 334 of the family's 1533-position model. The record is from RNAcentral.